AAGAGGCGCUUUGUGAGGCGGGAUGCAGCUGCUGAAAUCUGACUAGAUCCAGCUGAAGAGAGAAGGGAGCAGGUGGGUCAACAACCCCGCUCGGGCCGUUCCCAGAAUAUCAGGCUGCAGCAGAGUCGGGCCUCGACCGCCACCUCCAAACACCCGCUUGACCCACAAACACUCAGGCACCUCUGCGAGCAGCCAGGGUCCUUGUGGAUUGAAGAGCAAUCAGGAAGUUCACAGUGCGCUUCACGGAAGGCACCUUUAGAAAAGGCACCAUGCUAGCAGAGGCCUAGCUAGCUUUGGCCACCAGCCGAUUUGCCAGCCAUCUUGACAGAAAACAGCAGCAUGUAGCAAGAUUCCAGUAGAGGUCAGACAGACAAGCCAGGCUCUUUGUGGCUUUGACGCCAGAGAAAACAUCUCUUGCGAAGAACGGUCCCAAUCGCUAGUGGCAGCGCUGAUCAGCGGGUAACAGCUAGCUGCUCAACAUAAGUACUUCAGCGUGCUAAUGCGAAAAGGUGGAGGUGGAGAGCGUCACGUGCCGAAAAUGUUCGAAAGAAGAAUUUCAAUCACCUCGGAUCUCAGCUUCCUGUCGCUGCGCUAUGCCUUCAACAGAUGUCCUCUUGAAACCAAGAGGCGCGGAGUGAAAGGGCCCCCCCGUGAAAACAGCCCGACAACAACUGCGGCUUCACGCUGUGGUCCUGGCAAGCCUCACGCUGGGGCGCAGCCAAUAGCCGGCGAAUGAAAAGACAACAGUUCGGAAGCGAGGCGCCCGGGAGGAGGAGCCGGAGGAGCGGCCCGGGCGCAAGCGACCUGACCGGCCCUGGCGGCGGCCUCGGCGCCAGUUGUCGCCGCUUUAAUCCUGCCGGCCGCGAUGAGGUCAUCGCGGCCGGCCCGCCUCGAUGGCUGGGGUGACCUCACCUAAACAAGCGGGGUACGCAAACAUGCCCAGGCAAGUGCCCGUAACGUGCUCGACUAGUGCACAGUAACGAGUAUGGGAAAUACAAUUCAAAAUUGUUAGACGUCGUCUUGGUCUCAAAUAUUCAACAGUUAACGGUUAUCGUGCCUUUUUGGGUCAUCCUGAAUUUUCAGCUGAAAGCCGAAUCUCCCGAACAUUUUUCAUAUUUACAGCAGUCGUCUUUUUAAAUGAUACACCAAUUACUUAAGUAGGCUAAAUGCUGUACUAGGAAAACACAAUACACUAGCUUACUGACUGCCAUUUCUGGAUGUAUUUCUUGUUGCUAGGCAGACUUCAUAGGGCUCAACCAUAACUGAGCCAUUGUCCGGGGGGGGAAUUGUCCAGUAGGUCGGUUCAUGUAUAUAUAUAUAUUGUAUAUACCAUCAUAUGUAGAGUACAGUGUAUUAACUUUUUUCACAUUCAUCGAUUUACCCACUAUCAUAAAUUUCAAAAUGUGUAGCUCUUUUACCAAGCAUUACUUAUUAUUAAUUAUUUAGUCAUUCUAAUUACAGUUCAUUACUUUUCGUAUGAAAUCCUACUAAAUUCACACGCACCAUGUAACAUAAGAUGUAAAGAAAUAUAAAUGACUGGACAAAUCUAAAAUGCAGAAAACAGCGCUUUUCGAGUGGAAUUGAUUUCUUUUUGACUUUUUCACAAGUGCAAAUUAGGAAAUAGGACUCCAUUUAAAUGUAUGGUGCGAAAGUCCCAUUUGGAAGUAAGCUGGGCACCAGGCUGAGCGGGUCAGCAGAACCUCAGAUUUUGGCCUCAGGAGAAGCACAAGGCGGAACCCCGUUUGGGGUUGCCAAUCACCAUGCCUUUUGACAGACUUUGCUGCCGUGUUGUUUGACAUUUGCGAUCACACGUUUUGCUUUUAGCGAGUUAAAAGCUCAGGAAGUCGGCCAAUCGGGCUCGAAGCAGCCGUUUUCGGCAAAUUACAGGGCACAAAAUUAGAAAGUCAGACAGAUUUUUUUUUUUUUGCCUCUGGGUGGAACGUGCUGUCAAAAUAUGAUGUCAAAGUUGUGUUUUUGUUUUUUGGGUCUUUUUGUACUGUGGACAGUUUAAAAAUAAAAAAGAAAAAAUCAGCCCCACACACCAGUUUCACCGAGCCACACAAAUGUCGGCGCACACGUUUGUUAUAACAAGAUGCAUGAAAAAGUCUCAAGGAAACUCUGCCCAAAACUGAACAGGAAGUCGGCCAUCUUGGAAUCAGCCGUUUUGAGCCAAUUACAGCGCUUGAUGAACUCGUACUUGGGAAUUUGCACAAAAAGAGGCCCAAUGCAAGCAGGUAUCCUAAAAAAAAAAAAAAAAGGCAUUAUUUACAUACACCAUCUAAUAUGAAAAGAGUAUGGCGGCAAAAUGAUCAUUUCGAGGAUUCGCCAUGAAAAAGCGUUAAUUGUGCCAGCUAGGCCCGUUCAUUUCUGCACAUUUCUGUACGUUAAAGGCAAAAUUCAUGAGGAAUCACUGAGUGUUUCGGCGAGCGGCUUGCUUCACAUACAGUACCAAUUAACUCGGUGUCAUAUAAACAACGGAAUCAUUUGCAUACUGUAUACUUUAUAUAGCAACGCUCCGUAUUGUGCUAAACAACAUUAGACCCUAAAGAGAUGAUAAACACAGAUGUACAUAAUGUAAGCGAAUGUACAGUAGAGUCACACGCGCGCACAUGCACACACACACAAAAACACAAACACAAACACACGCACGUGCAAUGGGAAAAUAAAGAGACACUUGCUCUUGUUGGCACCUCCUCCCAUCACACACACCGCCUCCACUCCUUCAUCCCAGCUGUCACAACUGCAACAACUCCACAAAUACACGACACACACACACGUUCACACUCGCUCACCCACACACACACACACACGUACUAACACACACACGCGCGCGCGCGCGCGUGCACAGCACUUUUCCCACUCACACCUUUUCCCGCUCGCAACGGCCGGCUCCAGUUGGUGCCCACUCGCGACGGCACAUUUGUGUGUCUUUGUAUGUUCGUGUGUGUGUGUGAGACAGAGACAGUGAGCGAGCGAGUGAAUGAGUGAAUGUGUGUGUGUGUGUGAGAGAGAGAGAGAGAGAGAGAGAGAGAGAGAGAGUGAAUGAGUGAGUUAGUGUGUGUGUGUGUGUCUGUGUGUGUGUGAGAGAGAGUGAGUGUGUGUACGUGAGAGUGAGACAGUGAUUUUGUAUGUGUGCGUGUGUGUGUGUGUGCGUGCGUGUGUGUGUGCGUGCGUGUGUGUGUGUGUGUGUGUUUGUGUGUGUGUGAGAGAGUGAGUAAGUGAAUUUGUGUGCGUGCGUGUGUGUGUGUGCGUGUGUGUGUGUGUGUCCGUGCGCGUGAGAGCGUGAGUGCGUGCGUGAGUCAGUGAUUUUGUGUGUGUGCGUGCCUGUGCGCGUGUUUCGGCGACAUCGCCAAAUGUUUCUUGUUCGCCCGGCAAACACCAUGUGUGAGGUCAUAAAUCCGAUCUCCACGGCAACACAAUCCGGCGACACCGACACUCCCAGGAAGCAUCACAGAUUAGACAGAUUAUUCGCGCUCGCCUCUCAAAUUGCACGAGACACUCCAUUUUUUUUCAGUAUAUAUUUUCCAUAUAUUUUUCUUAAUUAUAAUAUAUACUGUUCAUACCAUUCCAUAUUAGAGAUGAGUGAUGAGUGAAGUUUUUAAUUGUUAUAUUACUUAUUUAGAAAUAUUAUUAUUUAUGUAUUUAAUGGAGUCUUUUAAAAAAAUAACAAUAAUGAUGAUUUUAGUACUAUUUUUGCAUAUUUACUACAUUUUAAAAACUUGGUCACCGACACAUUUCAAAAGGAUCCCCAAGUAGAGAGCUUAUUCACGUUACUCCUCGACUUUCAUGAGAAACUUUGUUUUUGAAGAUUUUGUUUGGUUUUUGUAAGCACUUUAUUUAGGACGCUUUAAGAUUUUUGUAUUUGUAUGAUUAUUUGUUUCAAACAUAUAAUUAUUUUGAUAUUUAUUCUCUUCUUUUGAAGUUUUUUUAAUAAUAAUGAUAAUUAUAUCAUUAUGUUUACAUAUUUAUUACAUUUUGAAACAGUG
This is a long non-coding RNA of Phyllopteryx taeniolatus (common seadragon), 3986 nucleotides long. RefSeq lists it as uncharacterized. The record is from RefSeq and is a predicted model, not a curated record. The transcript is spliced from 5 exons. NCBI's taxonomy places the organism in Eukaryota, Metazoa, Chordata, Actinopteri, Syngnathiformes, Syngnathidae.